This 231-nucleotide long non-coding RNA is filed under the name Hordeum vulgare. RNAcentral's name for it is "long non-coding RNA (HVUL_LNC001102)". The record is from RNAcentral. Lineage: Eukaryota; Viridiplantae; Streptophyta; Magnoliopsida; Poales; Poaceae.
AUUGUUCUACCUCCAUUGUUGACAUUCUUAGAGCUUGCUUACUCUCAAUCCCUCCAAUGAUUCUUGCUUGUUCUUGAGGGAAAAGAGAGAGGAGAUCUAGAUCCACAUCUCCACCAAUCACUUUCCCCUCUAUGUGAGGGGAACCCCUUGGAUCUUGAUCUUGGAGUUCUUUGUGAGCUCCUUGUUCUUCCUCUCAUAUUUCUCCAUAGCUUUCGUUGUUGUGGAGGGAUU